Molecule: ribosomal RNA, 440 nt
Filed under: uncultured bacterium
Lineage: Bacteria
Description: bacterial SSU rRNA
Rfam family: Bacterial small subunit ribosomal RNA
Source: RNAcentral
CCUACGGGGGGCAGCAGUGGGGAAUAUUGCACAAUGGGCGAAAGCCUGAUGCAGCAACGCCGCGUGAGUGAUGAAGGCCUUCGGGUUGUAAAGCUCUGUCUUUUGGGACGAUAAUGACGGUACCAAAGGAGGAAGCCACGGCUAACUACGUGCCAGCAGCCGCGGUAAUACGUAGGUGGCAAGCGUUGUCCGGAUUUACUGGGCGUAAAGGGUGUGUAGGCGGAUGUUUAAGUGAGAUGUGAAAACCCCGGGCUUAACUUGGGGACUGCAUUUCAAACUGGAUAUCUAGAGUGUGGGAGAGGAGAAUGGAAUUCCUAGUGUAGCGGUGAAAUGCGUAGAGAUUAGGAAGAACACCAGUGGCGAAGGCGAUUCUCUGGACCAUAACUGACGCUGAGGCACGAAAGCGUGGGGAGCAAACAGGAUUAGAUACCCCAGUAGUC